Molecule: ribosomal RNA, 692 nt
Filed under: uncultured Bacteroides sp.
Lineage: Bacteria; Pseudomonadati; Bacteroidota; Bacteroidia; Bacteroidales; Bacteroidaceae
Description: bacterial SSU rRNA
Rfam family: Bacterial small subunit ribosomal RNA
Source: RNAcentral
AACGCUAGCUACAGGCUUAACACAUGCAAGUCGAGGGGCAUCGGGGUUGUAGCAAUACGACUGCCGGCGACCGGCGCACGGGUGAGUAACACGUAUCCAACCUUCCGGUUACUCGGGAAUAGCCUUUCGAAAGAAAGAUUAAUGCCCGAUGGCAUAGGGUUUCCGCAUGGAGACCCUAUUAAAGAUUCAUCGGUAACCGAUGGGGAUGCGUUCCAUUAGGCAGUUGGCGGGGUAACGGCCCACCAAACCGACGAUGGAUAGGGGUUCUGAGAGGAAGGUCCCCCACAUUGGAACUGAGACACGGUCCAAACUCCUACGGGAGGCAGCAGUGAGGAAUAUUGGUCAAUGGGCGAGAGCCUGAACCAGCCAAGUAGCGUGAAGGAUGACUGCCCUAUGGGUUGUAAACUUCUUUUAUACGGGAAUAACAAGCGGCACGUGUGCCGCUCUGCAUGUACCGUAUGAAUAAGCAUCGGCUAACUCCGUGCCAGCAGCCGCGGUAAUACGGAGGAUGCGAGCGUUAUCCGGAUUUAUUGGGUUUAAAGGGAGCGCAGACGGGUCUUUAAGUCAGUUGUGAAAGUUUGCGGCUCAACCGUAAAAUUGCAGUUGAUACUGGAGACCUUGAGUGCGGUAUAGGCAGGCGGAAUUCGUGGUGUAGCGGUGAAAUGCUUAGAUAUCACGAAGAACUCCGAUUG